Long non-coding RNA from Lathyrus oleraceus (garden pea), 1201 nucleotides. RefSeq lists it as uncharacterized. Lineage: Eukaryota; Viridiplantae; Streptophyta; Magnoliopsida; Fabales; Fabaceae. The transcript has 5 exons. The record is from RefSeq and is a predicted model, not a curated record.
ACAACCCUCUACAAGGCCAAACAUCUUGCAAAAUUGGUUUUGAACAAUAUAAACCUCUGAAAAAGUUGACAUUAGAGCAUCCACAAGUGACGUGUGACUUUUCUGAAACUCAUUCUCCUUCUAUUACCCUUCAUACACUCAUUCCCACACUCUUUUAUCUCAACUUCCAUCUUCAUCUCCCUCACCGAUAAAAAAGGCUCUUAAUCACCAUUAUUGUUAGUGUUUCAACAUCUGAAACUCUAAACAACCGAGCUCAGCCUCACGCCACCAUUCACACCUUCAACCAUUUCUUCUCCCUACAACAGGAUCAGACAUCUCUACAAAGUUCUCAACACUCUCGCUUCGCUCAAGACUCAUAACCAUAACAAAAACACAAAAGUACACAAGGUAAAAAUUGAACAUAAAAGGAAAGGAAAGAAGAGGAUUGAGGAAACAUCGAGUCAGGUAUUAGUUUACCUGGUAGCUGGAGGGUGUUCUUGUACUGCUUGUGUCAUCUUUUUCUCCUCACUCCGAAAUUCGCCGGAACGCUUCUCAUCACCACCGAAAGCUUCCACCACUCAGAAGUAACACUCCUGCGAUUUCAAGCUUGGAUAUAAAAAAAAGAUAAAGAAGAAAAAUAAUGAGAGACAUUUUUAAGAGUAAUAACAUUAGAGGCAAUAAAGUCAUAUUUUGAACAAACUAUCGAAGUAAUUCCUGAUGCUAUAUUAGAUUCGAUUGUUUCUGAAGGAAGAUAAAAAAAAACAUUGGAGGAGGGAAUAUUAGAUGCCCAUGUAAGAAUUGCAGAACCAGAAAUUGGAAACUAUGUAAAGCAAGAAGGUUAAGACGAAGAAGAUAUAAUGGAAGAAUGUCCUAAUGAAGAAGCACAAAAGUUCUUUGCAAUGUUGAAAGCCUCACAAUCACCUUUAUGGGAUGGAUGUGAUAGAUAUUUUGUGUUGUUGGGUUCUUUAACAACAUUAAGUUUGAAAGCCGACUAUGGGUUUUCUCAAGGCUGUUUUAAUGGAUGGAUGCAAUUUAUGGGAAAUGCUUUGCCAUAGAGUAAUUGUAUGCCUAAAAGUUUUUAUCAAGAAGAUAAAUCGAUUGUUAGAACUAGGAUUAGUGAGUUUAAAAAUUGAAUAUUGUGUGAAAGGAUUAUGUUGUAUUAUAACGAGAAUGACACUCUCCAAGAGUGUAACGUAUGUGGAGAGGAGCCAUAUAGAAAUGU